This 328-nucleotide unclassified non-coding RNA is filed under the name soil metagenome. RNAcentral describes it as "partial contains 5.8S ribosomal RNA, internal transcribed spacer 2, and large subunit ribosomal RNA". The stretch from base 1 to 120 matches the Rfam family "5.8S ribosomal RNA", at positions 35 to 154 of the family's 154-position model. The record is from RNAcentral.
GAUGAAGAACGUAGCGAAAUGCGAUAAGUAGUGUGAAUUGCAGAAUUCAGUGAAUCAUCGAAUCUUUGAACGCACAUUGCGCCCCCUGGUAUUCCGGGGGGCAUGCCUGUCCGAGCGUCAUUACAACCCUCAAGCUCAGCUUGGUGUUGGGCCCCGCCGCCCCGGCGGGCCCUAAAGUCAGUGGCGGUGCCGUCCGGCUCCGAGCGUAGUAAUUCUUCUCGCUCUGGAGGUCCGGUCGUGUGCUCGCCAGCAACCCCCAAUUUUUUUCAGGUUGACCUCGGAUCAGGUAGGGAUACCCGCUGAACUUAAGCAUAUCAUAAGCGGAGGA